CCUACGGGUGGCAGCAGUGAGGAAUAUUUGUCAAUGGACGAGAGUCUGAACCAGCCAAGUAGCGUGAAGGAUGACUGCCCUAUGGGUUGUAAACUUCUUUUAUAUGGGAAUAAAAUGUUCCACGUGUGGGAUUUUGUAUGUACCAUAUGAAUAAGGAUCGGCUAACUCCGUUCCAGCAGCCGCGGUAAUACGGAGGAUCCGAGCGUUAUCCGGAUUUAUUGGGUUUAAAGGGAGCGUAGGUGGAUUGUUAAGUCAGUUGUGAAAGUUUGCGGCUCAACCGUAAAAUUGCAGUUGAAACUGGCAGUCUUGAGUACAGUAGAGGUGGGCGGAAUUCGUGGUGUAGCGGUGAAAUGCUUAGAUAUCACGAAGAACUCUGAUUGCGAAGGCAGUUCACUGGACUGCAACUGACACUGAGGCUCGAAAGUGUGGGUAUCAAACAGGAUUAGAUACCCGUGUAGUC
This 460-nucleotide ribosomal RNA is filed under the name uncultured bacterium. RNAcentral's name for it is "partial 16S ribosomal RNA". It matches the Rfam family "Bacterial small subunit ribosomal RNA", at positions 338 to 795 of the family's 1533-position model. The record is from RNAcentral.